This 329-nucleotide long non-coding RNA is filed under the name Elaeis guineensis (African oil palm). RNAcentral describes it as "long non-coding RNA (EGUI_LNC006900)". Lineage: Eukaryota; Viridiplantae; Streptophyta; Magnoliopsida; Arecales; Arecaceae. The record is from RNAcentral.
GUUGGAGGUCAGUCUGUUUAUGGGGGUCGGUCGAUUUAUCCCAACACCCCUUAUUCCACAUUGGAGAAGAAACUAGUAGUUGAUGAUCACACAAAUCAUAUAUAAGAUAUGCUUGAUUUGCGUAUGUGAUAGAUAUGACAAUCUCUAAGGUUUAUCACUAACUAAUGAUAAAUAAUAAUUAUUUAGGUUAUGAGUUUGGACUUGUCCCAAUGGUCAUGCCUCUCUUCUUAGCAAUAGUGAUUUUGUUCGACAGGUAGUGCAUUGACUUGGAAACAAAAUGCUGGUGGGUCUCCAUUCUUUAUCUAAACAGAAUAAAUGUGGCUCGACUC